Molecule: ribosomal RNA, 319 nt
Filed under: uncultured Lachnospiraceae bacterium
Lineage: Bacteria; Bacillati; Bacillota; Clostridia; Lachnospirales; Lachnospiraceae
Description: bacterial SSU rRNA
Rfam family: Bacterial small subunit ribosomal RNA
Source: RNAcentral
AUUGAACGCUGGCGGCAGGCCUAAUACAUGCAAGUCGAACGGUAACAGUAGAAAAGCUUGCUUUUCUAGCUGACGAGUGGCGGACGGGUGAGUAACAUUUGGGAAACUACCUGAUAGAGGGGGACAACAGUUGGAAACGACUGCUAAUACCGCAUAAGCGCACGGUAUCGCAUGAUAUAGUGUGAAAAGAUUUAUCGGUGUAAGAUGGACCCGCGUCUGAUUAGAUAGUUGGUGAGGUAACGGCUCACCAAGUCGACGAUCAGUAGCCGGCCUGAGAGGGUGAACGGCCACAUUGGGACUGAGACACGGCCCAAACUCC